GGCUUAACCCGGAGAGNCCGUUCAAUACUGCAUAACUUGAGGGUGUCAGAGGGGANCGGAAUUCCCGGUGUACCGGUAAAAUGCGCAGAGAUCGGGAGGAACACCAGUGNCGGAGGCGGUUCCCUGGGGCACACCUGACGCUGAGAGACGAAAGCUAGGGGAGCGAACAGGAUUAGAGACCCUGGUAGUCCUAGCCCUAAACGAUGAAUGCUAGGUGUGGGAUCGAAUGGUUCCGUGCCGGAGCGAACGCGAUAAGCAUUCCGCCUGGGGAGUACGGCCGCAAGGUUAAAACUCAAACGAAUUGACGGGGCCCCGCACAAGCAGCGGAGCGUGUGGUUUAAUUCGAUGCUACACGAAGAACCUUACCUGGGUUUGACAUGUAGGUGGUAGUGAAUCGAAAGGUGAACGACCCUUCGGGGAGCCUACACAGGUGCUGCAUGGCUGUCGUCAGCUCGUGCCGUGAGGUGUCGGGUUAAGUCCCGUAACGAGCGCAACCCUUGCUCCUAGUUACAAGUGUCUAGGGGGACUGCCGGCGGAAAGCCGGAGGAAGGUGGGGAUGACGUCAAGUCAGCAUGGCCCUUAUAUCCAGGGCUACACACACGCUACAAUGGUCGGUACAAAGGGCAGCGAAACCGCGAGGCGGAGCGAAUCCGAGAAAAGCCGAUCGUAGUUCGGAUAGCAGGCUGCAACCCGCCUGCUUGAAGCUGGAGUUGCUAGUAACCGCGCGUCAGCCAUAGCGCGGUGAAUACGUUCCCGGGGCUUGUACACACCGCCCGUCACGUCAUGGGAGUCGGUAACGCCUGAAGCCGGUAGUCUAACUGGAAACAGGAGACGCUGUCGAGGGCGGGACUGGCAACUGGGACGAAGUC
This 869-nucleotide ribosomal RNA is filed under the name uncultured organism. RNAcentral describes it as "bacterial SSU rRNA". It matches the Rfam family "Bacterial small subunit ribosomal RNA", at positions 606 to 1487 of the family's 1533-position model. The record is from RNAcentral.